RNAcentral lists this transfer RNA (87 nucleotides) under Micractinium singularis. RNAcentral describes it as "tRNA-Ser". It matches the Rfam family "tRNA". Rfam says of the family: Transfer RNA (tRNA) molecules are approximately 80 nucleotides in length. Their secondary structure includes four short double-helical elements and three loops (D, anti-codon, and T loops). Lineage: Eukaryota; Viridiplantae; Chlorophyta; Trebouxiophyceae; Chlorellales; Chlorellaceae. The record is from RNAcentral.
GGAAAGAUGUCCGAGUGGUUGAAGGUGUAGACCUGGAACGUCUAUAUGGUUUUAAAACCAUCGAGGGUUCGAAUCCCUCUCUUUCCG